This is a long non-coding RNA of Ailuropoda melanoleuca (giant panda), 2022 nucleotides long. RefSeq lists it as uncharacterized. Lineage: Eukaryota; Metazoa; Chordata; Mammalia; Carnivora; Ursidae. The record is from RefSeq and is a predicted model, not a curated record. The transcript has 3 exons.
GAAGCUUUCAAAUAUGGGGCUGAUCCCCGAACGCCUGCAGUGACUGGGCGGAGGGGCUGGUGGGCGGCCCGCGAGAGGAGCGUUGGAGCUACGCGCAGAGUCAGGUGUACUGCGCGGGCUGGGGCGCUGCCUGGUGGCUGCGGCCGGUACCACCUCUGUUGGCAUGGACGCCGAUCUCGAUACCAUCCUGGAGACAAGACGAGCAGCGAAGGCCUGGAGGUCACUCUCCUGGAGCAGAGAGUAGAGGCAGCCAAGGAAGAAUCUCUGAGCCAGUUAGGACGCUUCUGCAGCCAUCCCAGCGAGAGAUGAUGACGUGGACUCGGGAGAUGGCAGGGCAGAUACAGAAAAGUGGACAGAUUUCAGAGCCCCAUUGUGAGUAGGAUGACUGCCCUGGGCAACUGCCUUCAAAAUACCGGCUUGGUUCCUUUCAGUUGGUGAUCUGCAGUAUUGACCUCCAUGGACCUAGCAGAAGGGAAAGAGAGAACUUGAAUAAGGGUGCCAGAAGGUUUUCUAACUAGGCCUGGAAGUGAUGUACGUUACUGCUGCUCAUAUUCCUUUGGAAGGAACCCAAUCUAACUGCAGGGGAGAAGGGGAAAUGUGGUUUUCCUACACAUUCAGGAAGAAGAAACCCAAGUGAUGAGCAAUAGCCAAUCUCUGUCACAUAGCUAAUAACUAAUUCAUCCAGCAGCUAGCAAAUUCAUGUGUUGUUAUUGGGAGAUAGUGAAAAUUAAAUAAUUCAGAAGAUGAAAUAAAAUGGGAAUUGACUAUAAUCAAAAUAAAUAUCUGAUGAUCUGAUUUGAUAAAAUAGGUUUAACUGCUUUAUUGGAUGAUAUAUAACUUAUCCACAAGAAAUCCUGUAAAAGUUGUAUCUGUGAGCGUUAACCAAAUGUCUCUUUUAAUAGUUGCUAUUUCUAAAAAAACCUUUCAGUUACACUAAGAAAUAAUCAGCAUUACUACCACUACUGUUCAGGCUGUUUGGAGGCGCUUUUCUUUCCAGCUAAAGACAAGUACCAAGAUGAGUAUUUUUUAAAUAGCUGAAAAGAAUUGCUUACAUUUAAAAAGGCUUUUUUUUUUUUUUGCUCUUUUCUUUGCUAUCAUAGAACUCACAAGAGCAUCGCAUUCUUUGAUAGUAGUCCAAAAAGAGCCAGAGACACAGUCACCACCCCACUGCUCAUUCUAAUUUAAUUCACAGUAUCCCAAUACUGGCCAAAAUACUCUGGUUCCAAAGCAACACUUGCUCUUAAUAGAAAUAUGUAUAAGAAAGACAAACAUCAGUCAGGUUUCUAUGUGCUUUAAUUGUUCAAGGAGACUUCCCUGAAACCAGACAUUUGAAUUGUUCUUUUGAUGGGCAACCAGGAGAUUUUUACUCCUUGGAACAAUGCACCAUAAAGUAGGAGAUUAGACUAUAAUGAAGGGAGAGGUGAGAAUGCAGUAUGUUUGCUCAGGAAAAAGGAGAGUAUGCUGAAGUAAGAGGAAAAAGUAGUUAGGGUGUUAGAGUCAAAGAGGUGGAUUCCAGGCUCUGUCAGUUAGAAGUUUGUGACACUAGGCAAGGUCAACAGACCUUUCUGAAUCUGAUGCUUCUUUAAUGCCAGCUUCUCUGUGUGCCAGCCUGGCACAUAAAAGAUACCCAAUAAAUAGUAGUUAUUAUACAAUCAGACAGGAGACACCAGUGUUGAAAAGUAGUGUGAGAGUGAUCUUGCCCCACCUAACAAAUAUGAUCUCUUCCCCUCCUAAAGGAGAGAAUCCUCAUUGGAUUUUAUACAUUUCUGGUAUUUACUUACUAGAUUUUAAACUCUUCUGCAAUUACAGGACCUGUGCUUUACUCAUUUUAUAAACCCCUCAGCCCUAGGGACUGCUCUUGCACCUAAUAGGAAAAGGGAGGACUUGGGACUGUAUCAAUAGUCUUCAGUCUUCUAUAUAGGCACCCCCCACUUUUUGAAAGUUCACAUUUUUUUUUAAGAUUUUAUUUAUUUGAAAGAAGGAGAGAGAGAACACAUGAGUGGGGGGAGGGGCAAUAGGGAG